AAGGUAAUUCCUCCGUCCAACAAAGUAUGUCUCAACUUUGACAAAAUUUGAAUGCAUUUAUAUACUAAGUCAUGUCUAGAUACAUCCAAAUUUUGACAAAGUUGAGACAUCUUUUGUUGGAUAGAGGGAGUAUUAU
Brachypodium distachyon (stiff brome) is the source of this 136-nucleotide non-coding RNA. Lineage: Eukaryota; Viridiplantae; Streptophyta; Magnoliopsida; Poales; Poaceae. The record is from Rfam.